This 354-nucleotide long non-coding RNA is filed under the name Triticum aestivum (bread wheat). RNAcentral's name for it is "long non-coding RNA (TAES_LNC008768)". The record is from RNAcentral. Lineage: Eukaryota; Viridiplantae; Streptophyta; Magnoliopsida; Poales; Poaceae.
CAGUUUUAUUUUUUUCUCCUUUUCAUUUCUUCCUUUUUAUAAAUUUUUAUUUUAUUUAUAUUUUGGUUUUAUUUUUUCUUUUGUCUAGUUAUAGAUGUUUAGUUUUUUCUUCUUCAAAUUAUGGGUGUUUAGCGUGAAUGCAUUUCAGUGGUGUUUUAUCGGUGCAAUGAGGGGUGAAGGUGGCAGUUGCAUGUCUGUCAUUAGGUAUCUACAAGUGCCCUAACUACAACUCAAUGGUGUUUUGUUAGGGGGAGGAGGGUAGUUGCAUGUCUGUCAUUAGGUAUCUACAAGUGCCCUAACUACAACUCAAUGGUGUUUUGUUAGGGGGAGGAGGGUAGUUGCAUGUCUGUCACU